GAUGAACGCUGGCGGCGUGCCUAACACAUGCAAGUCGAACGGAACUAUUUUGGAAACUCCUUCGGGAGCGGAAUCUUUAGUUUAGUGGCGGACGGGUGAGUAACGCGUGAGCAAUCUGCCUUUAAGAGGGGGAUAACAGUCGGAAACGGCUGCUAAUACCGCAUAAAGCAUUAAAUUCGCAUGUUUUUGAUGCCAAAGGAGCAAUCCGCUUUUAGAUGAGCUCGCGUCUGAUUAGCUGGUUGGCGGGGUAACGGCCCACCAAGGCGACGAUCAGUAGCCGGACUGAGAGGUUGAACGGCCACAUUGGGACUGAGACACGGCCCAGACUCCUACGGGAGGCAGCAGUGGGGAAUAUUGCGCAAUGGGGGAAACCCUGACGCAGCAACGCCGCGUGAUUGAAGAAGGCCUUCGGGUUGUAAAGAUCUUUAAUCAGGGACGAAACAAAUGACGGUAC
This 454-nucleotide ribosomal RNA is filed under the name uncultured bacterium. RNAcentral's name for it is "bacterial SSU rRNA". It matches the Rfam family "Bacterial small subunit ribosomal RNA", at positions 28 to 478 of the family's 1533-position model. The record is from RNAcentral.